AAGCAAGCGGGGCCUCCCCCCCUCCCGACGGUGAGGGGAGGGGCGGGGCGGGGCGCGGCGGCGUGUGGGCCCGAGUGGCGAGCGCGCUCCCCGCCGGCCGCUCGCCCCGCUGGCGGGAGAGUGAACUUUGACACGACUGCUGCAACUUAGCGCACGUUGCCAUGGCGACCACGCGCCUUAUAAGGCAACCCGACCGGCGCUUGACUGGUCAAAAGCUCGCGCCCCGCCCCUCGGCCCUCAUUGGGCCGCCAGGCGCCCUUGCGCGGCCUGCCAUGGCCGCCGCCGCCGCCCGCGCGGUCCUAGAGGCAGGCGCCGCCCCGCCGCCGCUGCUGCCACCACCACGGGGGCCGGGGCGUCCCCCCCGCGCACGCCGCUCCUGCUCCUCUCGCUCUUACUCCUCGCCCCGGUUUCCCCGUGUCGUGCCCUCGCCGCCGUCGGUGCGAGGGGUUAAGGCGAGCCCGGCGAGGCGAGCGGAGCUCCACCGCCUCACCUGGGGCCGCCCGCCGAGGCACGGCAUCGGGGUCGGGAGGGGGACUUGGGGACGGCGGGUGAGAAUCAGAAUAUUGACUCUAAAAUGAGGCAAAAUUCCACCGAAUAAAAUAAAAGUGAGACCCGCUUCCGCCUGGGGAGGGGAAGCGGCCGCCCGUCAUGGGCAGCGCUGCACAGGUACGCGGGCUCCCGCCCGCCGGAGGUCCCGCCGGGCACUGUCUCGGCCGGCGUCGCUCUCGGUCCCUGCGGCCUCGCUCCGGGCUGACGGGCGGGGGAACGGGCCGGCGGUGGCGGCACCUGCGCUCUCCCCGGCCGCUCGCGGGACCGCGGGGCGCUGAGCGUCCCCCUGCCGCAGCGCUCCGGGUCCAGCCGCCCGCACAGUCCCGUUCCCGGCGGAGUAACGGGGCACCGCCGCUGUUCCGGACCGCUCCUCCCCGUACGGGCGCCUCUUCUCCCGCCACCCCGGGCAGCCGGCGGGCUGGGCGACAGGACCGUGUUUCCACGCAAGACACCAUCUACUCCUUUCCCUUAGCGCGACGGGGGAAAAAGAACACCCGCAACGCCGCUCCGCAGAGUGUGACACUCGUGUCUUUUCCCUCGCAACCUCCACAGCAUCGCUAUAACGCAGCUCAUCUCAACCCCUUAAACUUUAUUUAGGGGUUUGUGCUUUUGUAUUUUUUUUUUUUUUUAGAUCACACGUACCCUGACACAGUAACACAACCUCUGUGCUAUAGUAGGAACACCACUAAAUAGGUAACCGAUCUGAGUACACGGGGACAGUUGUUUAUUUCCUGCUGAAUAUAGCGACCGGACAGCGGAACGGGGACUUUGAGUUCAUCUCCUAGUGCAAAUGGCCAAAAGACACUCGAACAGGCGAAAGGACGGAGAGAUAAAAAAAAGAAAACAUGUUAAAAUAGGCAGAUAAAUGCCCGGCCGGACAAUCCUUCCUCUGCAAACAUACACGUCUAUGUACGCUCACAUUUGAGCUAGUCACCAAGCACGGACGUGGGGACACAGACCUGUGCCCAACUCUUUACAGGAUUAAUUGCCUCUCACCUCCUCACACACACUUUUUCAUGUUGCCACAUGCACACCCCCUUCUGCCGCAGAAAUAAUAUAUGUGGCUCAAGCCGCAGGUGCUGAGAUGAUUGGAAAGUUGUAAAAAGCACCCAGACUUGACAAUGUCCUGCUUAGAAACCUGGUGUAUUAAGACCCCACGAACGAAGAUGUAACUGCGGCUCAAUUUCAAAGGCAAGGGUGCAGCGUUCCCAUUGAUCCUGACAGAGCAAAAAUAGUCUUUCUCCGAAACAGGGACCACAAGGGACUGAAAAGAUGGAAGGGGGGUGGUGGUGGUGGAAGAAUCUUUCCCCGCUAAAAUGUGGGGAACUGCUUUAUGAUUUCCAAACAACCCAGAGUCGAGGACGUCACCUUUCAGGGAGGGUGGGAGAAGGUGGGGGUUCAAAAUGCAGAAUAGUCACAUAUUGUUGCUGAUGUUGAAUUUCCUGAGGAAAAAUAGAAAAAAACCCCCAAUCCAACACCAACCUUUCCUGUCUAAAACCUGACAAAGUAAACAGGAUUAAUUCGCCAUAAGAAAAAACAUUAAUGCCGUCUUAACAAAUGCAGAAAUCAGAAGAGAAAGCGGUUUUAACAGGACCUACAAUAUUAAUAGUUUGAACGUAUGAUCGUAAAAAUGAAAAGCCAUUGAUAUACGCUUAACAGCCGCCGUAUACGCUGAUUGCUCAAGCAUUAAUGAAGAAUGCACCAGAUUAACUAUUUGCUCUUCGAGGGAUGCAGCAAUAUAACUAUCUAUUAGCACCAUUAGAUGCUUUGCUAUUUAUUUGAAAACACUCUUGCGAGUGGUUUGAGGCAGAACAGAUGAAUGUAAAAAUGAACUGCAGCUAAUUUCGCUAAAUAAUACUCGAAACCUGAGCGCCUCGCAUAGAAGGAGAUUCUCAACUGUCCUUCUCAGAGCCUAAUGACAAUAGAAACGCUCUGUUUUAAAAGUAAGACCGUAUUGGUUUUCCAAAUAAACAAAUCCAUCCCUCCUGCCAUUUUACUGCAGAUGUAAAUUUAUUUUAAUGAGAGGGAGUGGAAGGAUUUAUUUUGCUAAAAUAGAGGUGGAGAUGAAGCCGGUGUAAAUCUUUAGGUUUUAAAAAAGAGGAGGAAGGAGGGGGAAGCUGCUUUCCUGGCAGAAAGCUGCCUAACAGUCCUCUAAUUCUUUCUAGAUUAAAUCGCAAUAUGAAUACAGCAUCGAACAAAUACCGAGUUUCGCUCUGAACUCAGUGGAAAGCAGUUACGUCUAACAGAAUUCAAUGAAUUCCUCUUCUCCCUCAAUGUAGUAUGUGUGUGUUUUUCUCUUCCACCACACUGAAGUUCCAUGAAUAGGGAAAGUGGCUCCUAUUGUGUGCCUCUGAACUUCCAAGUCAAUGCAAUUUUUAACCACUGGCUUGUGGUACUUUGAAAAUCACCAGGGGCUGUCAGAGUUGGGUCCUCUGAAAAAUUUACAGUGCUAAAUCAGAGCAUAUGCUGUGAGAGAGGAAAAAAAAUUGCUUAAGAUUGGAGCAAGUACAGUAUCCGGCUGCCCCCUAGUGUAAGUCUCUUAUCUGCCUAAAAUUCAACUUUAAAAGAAAAGGAUCUCUUAAAGGGAAACGACUUUUGGCUCACGUAUGCAUACGAGAAUGAAACUUCUGUACAUUUUAAUCUGAUUAAUUCCUAAGGAUUUAAAAUUAAUUGGCUUGGGCACUCCUAGACCGGACUAUAAGAUUUCUGCAUCAGGGUUUCUGCCAGCUCUACACCGAAUAGGUAUUUUUAAGGGAUAGUGGAAAGGAAUGGGGGGGGGAAUCCUGUUUUGUGAUUUUUUUUUUCAAACGAGGAACCGUGCCUCGCAUGCUGUUGUCAGAGCAAAACACUUUUGCUGCUUAAAGUCAGAUCUACGUCUUUCGCAAUAAUACUUAAAAAAAAAAAAAAAAGGAUAAAUAAUUGCCUUAAAGCCUCAGCCGAACUGCCAACCACACCUUCAGAUGUCAGAAGGCAGAAAUAUGUGAACUGUUGAGAGAGGUGGGUACUUUUUGGGCCUGCCUCGAAGAUGACACAAAUAGGGAUUGAAGUACCAGAAAAAAAACCCCUUCAAACAAAACAAAACCCUGAACAGGAAUAGAGACAGGCGGAUAGAUAUAUAACUGCAUCUGAACAAUGUUACGUACGAGAUUAAAGGAUGAAGAAAGUUCAGAGCAGGAGGAGUCACCCAAACCAACCGGUGUGCAUCUGCACUUCUUUGAAAGGCAAACAUAAAUGGAGCAAGGAGGAAAAAAAAGAAUCCAAACAGCAUUUUUGAACUUCAGGCUUCUCUGGACCUUGUCUGGGUUUAAUCACAGGCUGUGGGACAAAAUGUGCAUUAUUAAGAAAUAUAAAUAUUUUCAGAAGCAAUCAAAGGGUUGAAAGAUUGAUUCGGCAUGUAGAUUGGAUUUAAUUCGAAGCAGCUUUGUUCUAAUGAGGACUACUGGGAUACAAAGACGGCAGCCGCUUACGGCCACCAGUUAGGAACUUUGACUCUGCAGCAACCUGUCACGAAUUUCAAGAAACUUCCAGGAAUAUGGAAGAUGCUCACUUCUAAGACAACGGCAAGGAUUGGGCCAAAAUCCAGAUCCAGCCUACAUUUCUUCAUCUGAGUAGUCCUGUCUCGACCUAUGACUGCUGACAAGAUCACAACAAUGUGGACCCUUCUCUCCUUACUCCCCAGCAUCAGAUCACCAAGAGGACCUGAGAUAAUACUGGAUGAACCAUCACAAGACUGUGCUCAGAAAGUGUGGGGACAAGUACACAGAGAGAUGGUUGGUGCAGCUGGUUCCCUGGUUGUUGCUUUGCAGUGGUUCAUCUUCGAGUUGUGGCACAAGGUAUCAGAGGCUGGAGGAACACUGCAUGGACUGUUCUUGUCCUGGAUCCUCCUCAUCAGUGCUUUGAACUGUAUGAAGCCCUGAGAACCAAGCCAAUGUGAGUGCAUGACCAGGUUUCUCUCAUGGUCUAUACCUGAAGAGCAAAAAGUUCCAUCCUUUGCUUCUGCAGGUUCCUGAUGCUGAAGGUCUGACCUUAAAAUGAGCAGUGCAUAGGGCAAGUGAGCUUCUGGCCUUCAACCCUUCCGAAUGCAGCUAUUUUGGUAACUAGAACAGUAUAUUCACAACGGGUGAGGGAACAGAGCCUUCCAGUGAAGGAUUUCUCAGCAUAUUAACACUAUCAGUGCUGGAUGCUGUGUCUCUUCACAGGUUGCCUGUGUCUGUUUAUGGCCCUAAAUGAAGAUUUGCAGAAGUCUGCAGCUUUCUGUAACUUCAUGACCAUGUUUCAGUGCCUGCUGCACCCACAAACUGAACCAUUCUUCCCAGGAAUUUCCAUGUAGAUCUGAGGAGAACUGCAAUCCCGUGCAGCUGUGAGAAGUUCAGACUUGGAUUUCUUGUCCUGGUUUGCUACAAUGCAACUGUCCUCAUUAAUGUACUUCAAGCCCUGAUGUAUUGGGACCACCAUGGUUGGCAAGUUCUUGUUAACCAGUUCCUGUUGACAACCAGGGAACAGGCACAAGUCAGCUCAGAAAAUGAACGACUAGAAGGCUUUGGAAGAAGCAAUUUUCAUGCAGAUAUGUGGCUGGAAUAUGAACGGUACUCCAAGGUACACCUCAACUCGGGCUUCAGAUCACACCAUUAAGCAAUGAGGUGACAAACCGGUUUCCUUUCUCAAGCCAAUUGUCACGUAACUGCCAAGGGGCCCCUGAUUUUUUCCAUAAGAGAUGUACCUGUACAAUCCAUUCCUACCCUGUAUGCUUAGCAGGAGGAGAUAAAACUGCUCAUUUCCAUUUGGGACAUUUCUAAGCCAGGAAGAAAAGCACAAGGCGUCAGAGCAGCCACCUGUUAGGCAUUGACAAAGGAACCUCCCCACACCAUUAAGUGGAGAUGAUUUCCCAGGGUUAAUGUAAACCACUAUAAAGGGUGAUGGUAACUUUCUAACCACCAACAAGUUUUGUUACUCCUAGAUGAGGCAGCAAACAUAUUCAACCCCAUAUACUCUGCAGUUAACAGAUAUGCUUUAACGAAGAAAGCCCUGAUCAGUGGAGUAUUGUAGGAUAAUACAUGCUACAGCAUUAGUAGAAGUCCAAAUGGCCCAAGGAGCAUCUGUUACCAACACAAAAAUAGUGGGUAAAAGCUAUCGUAAUUCCUGAACCCAGGAACCUGUCUGGAGGCACAGACUUCCCAAGCCAGAGGGGACUUAGAGAACUUGGGAUGUUCAGCAAGAUCUCAUCUCCCCAUGGGUUUACCACAUCAGCUCAGUCCAGGCCAAAUGGGCAGGACAAAGUCCUCAGCUACACUCCAAGUUAAUUUCUCUAUUGAUCCUGAAGAGGUAUGUAUAGUAGGAGAGAAUCUUGAACCAGAACUUGCCUACCAGCUGAAGCUGUAUGAACUAAAUUGUGGAUUCCCCAACUACAGAGAGAACCAAUGGACAAUUUUAGCCUAGUCAUCACUUCUGUCAGAGGAAAGAAACUCUCUGAGGUAAGUUCCCUUGGAUAUAAUUCUUUCUUUCCAGGUUAAAGAAGGGCUGGAGCUAAUACAUAUCCUGAGUGAUAAUGUAGAUUUGCACCUUUCCUGUUAAAUAUAGCUGGUUCAUAUCCAAAGCAUCACUUUUAUUCCUAAUGCUCACUUAUAUCAUUACAACUUCUACAUUAGUUGCAGGUGUGAAAUACCAACUGAUUCACAGUUCUCUUGCUGUCAGCAGGAGAGUAAUAUAUGUCAAAGAUAUGACUCUCAGAGAGGAGGUCACCAGGAUCUCCAUUUGCACAUCUGCUUUGCUAAACACAAAAAUCUGGAGAUUUGCAAAGCUCCAGUAGGCACAAAAUGGGAUGAGUUCAUGGGGGGUGAUACAUAAAAAAACUGUGCUUCUCACUUAGUAGGCCUGUGACAGAAUUUGCUCACUAUACAAAACGUUUGCUGUUUUACAACAGGCAGCAUUUCUCUAGUAUUCAUAUGUAGGUACUUGAGUGUUUUGUAUUGAUAAAGAAAAAAGCUACACUUCUCUACAUUACAUUGUACAAGAAAAGUCAGGAUAUCAACAGGUUAAAAAAGGGCCUAAUUGAUUAAAAAACUUCUGAAAGUUGUCACUAUUCAAUGUAUCUCUGCUCUGACUGUGCAGAUAUUGAAGUCAGGAGAAUGCCUGAUCGAAGCUCCUGCAGGCAUGAUGCUCCUGGAACCUGCCUCACACAGAGACACCUAGAUUGGUUUUUGAGGGCUUCAAGAGAGACAUCCAAAUAUUUCUACUUCCUCCUGUUAGUGGAUUUUUUUUCAUACCUCAGAAAAAUUCUUGCGAUUGUAAUAUGUUUUGCACUUGAUGCCUGAUGCCUAGACAAUGGCUCUUGCUCAUGGACCUCUAAUACAUGAUAUUUUCUGCCUUCUCCAUUUUACAUGAAAUCAAAGACUAAUUGUACAUAUCUGUGUCUAAUUGUUUUUUGACAUUUGAGUAUAGUUUGCUCUGCAUUUUUAAAGAAAGUUUAAAGAAACUUUUUUAAAAUAAACUUUUUCUGAGUGCAUGCCUGUCAGUUUUAUUUUCAUUUUUGCCACGUAUAAUUGUGAGAAACUUACAGACAAAUAAUAAGAUUUUUAGUUUCUGUUGAGAAUUGCCUUUUCCAAGACAAUUCUGUAUGCUAUUACUUCAGCCCACUGGGUAUCAUGUAGGUAAGGUGUAAGAUUCUGCAUAUGAAUAUUUCUGUCUGCUACUUAUGUGUGCUGAGAUAGUAUCAGCUUCUAUUUUGUCUUGUUGUUGGUCCUUAUUCCAUAGAAGAUAUUCCUAAUUACCAACAAGACAAUUUGGUAACAUAAAGUGUUACAGAAUCAUUUAUGUGGUGAUUCAUACCUGGUAAGGAUCUGAUCAUUGAAUUUUAAACCACAUUUGAAAGUCAUAAGAUAAAGAAUAUUUUUUCUACAGGAUGUUGUUUCUAUUUUUAAUAGAAAUACUCUCCUUUGUUUAAUUUAUUGGCACAGUUCUUCUAAAUGAUACAGAGCUUUGCAACAUGAAGAAGACGUAAUUUUUGCACACUUGCACUGCCCUGAAAAAUUCAGAGCACACUUCUAUACUGGCUUAAAUCAACCGAAGUCUAAACACCUAAAUGUGAUUUUCAACAACUGCACAUGAGGGACAUAUCUUUACAGGUAAUCUAAAGAAUACAAAACUAAAAACAUCUCAAUUGUGGAGCAAAUUCAUUGUAUACCUUCCUUCACUUAGUGAAUAUGUUUAUAUAUUUUUAACCCUUGUAUGUUUAUUCCUAAGUCUGUUGGAAAUGGUGGAAAUUAUAUUCUGUUGACUCCAACAGUCUCUACUUCCUACUGGAUUAAGGAAGACAUUUGUACAUCAGUUUUGCUGGUGAUGUCCCAAUAACGAAGUGGAGUAUCUUAUUAUAAAUGCAUAAGUGGGUAAGCACCCAAUAGAAAAGAUGUCAGAUAGAGAUCCAGAAAUUAUAGUCUACUUGUAACAGAAAUAAAACAAGGAACACUUACUAAUGAGUCAUUAAUUUCUUUAUAAUUGCUUCCACAUUUGGGGCAAAUUUUUCCUAAAUCAUCUACAGAAACCCUGCAAUUCAUGGGACUUUUGAUAGUGGUUAUGACAUGAACAACACAUCUCAUAUAUGAUAAAAAAAUACUUAUGUUAACAAGCAUUUUUUGCUCUGCAAACUACUUUUCUGAGGCUUUAUUUCAGUCUUCGGUCACAUCCUUAUCCUUAUUCUCAUCCUUAUUUUCUAUUCUAAUAUAAAAGCAGGAGUUCUUAGUGAUUUAGAAGAGAAAUAAAACUGAAGAAAAUUUAGGCAGAACUGUAAAGUAUAAUCUAUUUAAAUUUCCAACUUGGAAUCUGUUUUGUGCUGUGCUUCUCUCAUGAACUCAGUUUUCCACAGUGCAUUCAGUGUUGUAAUAAUGCAAAUCAAAUACAAUUUUAAUAACUCCUUCCAUUAAAAUGAUCUAUUAAUGUUUUAAGACUCCAACACUUAUGAGCAUGAUUCUAAUUGCAUGAUUUUGCUUCAGGCAGGUUUUAUAGAUCUGCCUGAUCUUUGGAUAUUUGCACCAUAAGGAUUAUUUUAAAUAAAUUAAUUUUUGAAAGAGUUUCAGUCUCAGUAACAACAGUUGAGUUUGAUAGUGAUUGUCUUUUGGGUAACCAUAUGUAUCUGCUUCCACAAAAGGACAAACUAAGUAAAUUUAAAACAAUUUGAAAGGAGAUGGCUGAGGUUUAUACAAUGGAAUAUCUUAUGAAGAAUGUUCUGAAGAGGGGAAUAUCCAUUCCGUAUGUUAGCACAAGGAGCAAAAGAGGUUUAGAGUGAACAGCAUUUUAUAUUUGUUAUGUAGCACAAUUAAAUUGGGGGACUUUCUGCCACAGAAUACCAAAAGUAUAAUCGGAUUCUAAACGGGAUGGAAAUUAAUGGAAAAGAAUUCUUUUGAUAUCAUUGGACGCUAUUUUAUCCAACUUUUACUGUUGGUCUCUGUAAUGCACUGAGUGAUAGCAACAAGGAAAACACAUCAGGAGAAGAAUUACUCUAUGUUUGACUUCUGACAUUUUUCUGUAUGUCUGCUAGGGGUUUCUGCCACAGACAAGGUGAGGAGCUAGCUGGACCUUUGGUCUAACCCAACACAGCUACAUCUAGGCAAGACAAAUGGUUGUUUGAAAGUUUGUUCCUCUCUCCAGAAACCUGUGAAAACCCUCAGGUUUUCUUGUCAUUCUGCAGAGCAGGAUGAGGAGAGAAAAGAGGAUGGGCCUUGGGAAGAAGGUAAGCAGGGCAGCAAGAGUUGCAAAGAAAGCAUUUGCUGAGUGCUUUGUGAGGGCCCUUACCUUGACACGGUCCCCAGGCUUUAUCUCUAGUGGUAGUCUCUUGGUCACCGGCAUGCUGGCUCUCCUCCUCGUAUGUGCUGUUCUUCUCCCUGAGCAUCACUUGAGACCUACAGGAGAAGGUUCCCUUCUUCAAGAUGAACUGAAACAUCAACACGAUCUUACAUUCUUGAUUGAACAUUUCUUCCAUAUAGAAUUUACACCAACUUUGUUCAUCACAAAUGCCUACAUAAGCCUUGAAAAAAAAAACAACCCUUAAAGCUAGAAGCGGUAAUAUUCUUUGAGGGUUAAAGAAUUACUAUUUACCAAAUGUUGUUAAUUGUGUACUGAGAAGUGAUUCCUUGUCUGCAAAAAAUAACAUGUGCUUUACUGAAUGUGGUUUUACCCACUCCAAAAAUGCUAGUUCUUCUGCCUGUUAUCUGAACAUUUCUUUCCUCUGGUGUAUCGAAUGUGCAUUUUUCUUGCAGGAUUUAGUCCUAACAGAAAGACUUGCUGAAGUGUUUACAUACUGGCAAAGAAAUAGUGUACAAGUUGUGCAAAACCUAUGACAAAUUUUUACUUCAACAUGAAGACUUUAGAUCAGUCCUAUUGGAGUGUAAUGAAAAGGACAACAGGCCAAAAGUACACAGGCCUUGAGAAAUAUAAACUUUUACAUGGAUAGAUACUCAGAAGUAUGGAUAAUUUCAGCAGUACUUGAAAUUUUCAGUGUUGGAUCAACUCAGAGCAUGAAGUUCUCAAUUGUUCCUCCUCAGAAGCCAUCCCAAGCAAGAACACCCUGAGAUACCAAACUGAUGUUAAAAGUGGAUUAUGUCUGGGGUUUUCUAUGAAAGCUUUGUAAAGGAAAAUGCCAAACAGGCAAAAAGGUUAGGAGGGAACAAUGUGGUUUUCAUGAGGCUUCCCAACUGAAUAAAAGAUGUUAAAGACAUUUCAAAAUUAUUGCAAGCAUCCCAAUAGAUAUUUUUCUAAAUGAACAUUUAUUUGCUUUGAAAUACAUUUUGGUUUUAAUUUUUAAUUUAUAAAGUAAAGCAAAAAAUGAAAUAUUUUAUAUUACUGAAGGAAAUGACACAGCCUUUUUUUUUUUUAGCAGCUUAUUGGUUAGCCAGAGAAUUAGUUGGAAAAAUGAAAUAUUGAAAACUCCCAAAGGGCAGAAAAAAGCACUUCCCUGCCAGAUAUAAAAUGAGAGAAAAAUAUAAUGACAUUUUCAUUUAACACAAAAAUUUAGUAAAAUAUCCAGAUUUUCAUAGAAGAUGCAAAGACUUGAACUCGGACACACUUUGGGUUUCUUUCCAAGUGUGAUGCUUACAUAUGGUAACUGCUAAUGUUUUUACUAGAUCUGGUCAUGUACACUCCUAGAUAAAUAACUGGAGGUACUCCAGCCUCUGCAGGGAUUGUAGUCCCUGUUUCACAUGCUGUCAAAAGAAGUAUGAGCAGGAAUUCCACAGUUUUAGUCCAAACUUAUGUGUUUAAACAUAAAAUUAUUAUUAAACCUCAAAUAAUUUAAAAGUGGCCUGUCCAAGGAGAAAGAGCCCUGGAUGCCAGGAAGGGUUAAGGUUUGCAGUAGAUGGCCUGUAUAGUUACACUGUGCCAUGCCAAUAGUGGAAGGCAAGAACAUCCUUAGAUGCCUUCUCAAUUUGUCAGGAAUUUCUCUUCUGAACUAUUACCUCCAGCUUUAUGCAGAACACCGUCAGUCCUUUUAUCUGUGAGGUAUCUCAAAGUUUACUGUCUGCCUAUCGCCUCAGCUGAACCACACUAAUAGUUAGCUAAUUACAUGUGAACACUCUAAUUUGCCCUAUGUCUUUCUCAAAAGAAAAUGUGCAUGUGUAGGCAUGCACGUGAGUAAACUUUUGCUCAUGUUAUAAAAUUGCAGCACCAUAUAGAAUCUUUGCACCAGCCAAAGCAUGAUAAAAUCUGUUGCCCGCUUGCUGCCCUCUCUGUUGCUUUCCCCUACCAGGCCACCACCAGUGCUUGUCAUUCCUGAUUUGCAACAUCACCUGUUGCUCCAACACCAGGCUUCUCUAGACCAGAAACUGGAGCAAAGAAGAGAAAUACGUGUUUGUCAUUGAACUGAACUGGGAAGAAGGAAGAGGAGAACGAUAAGAUCAUAGCCUGCAGCGCUUUGUUUAUGAGAACAUCCUUCCAGUGAUAUAUGUCUGCACCAGGUGAAAGUAUUGUGUCACCCCUAACAUAUUUUAAAUGCCAGGGCUGUCAUGCAAGAAGACAAUGAUGAACAAGUUUAAACAGAAUAUGGUAUUGUAGCCAUGUACAGAGUGUUACCCUUUAAAGGUUUUCACUGGUAGUGCUUAGCAAAAUGUUUCUGAAGUCUUUUAUACUACAUUAUAGAACCUUUCUCACACAGAGUUUAAACUAAAUAAAAAUAUUUCUAUUGCAGAUAAACUGA
Molecule: long non-coding RNA, 11728 nt
Organism: Columba livia (rock pigeon)
Lineage: Eukaryota; Metazoa; Chordata; Aves; Columbiformes; Columbidae
Exons: 11
Source: RefSeq, a predicted model, not a curated record